UUAAGCGACUAAGCGUACACGGUGGAUGCCCUGGCAGUCAGAGGCGAUGAAGGACGUGCUAAUCUGCGAUAAGCGUCGGUGAGGUGAUAUGAACCGUUAUAACCGGCGAUUUCCGAAUGGGGAAACCCAGUGUGUUUCGACACACUAUCAUUAACUGAAUCCAUAGGUUAAUGAGGCGAACCGGGGGAACUGAAACAUCUAAGUACCCCGAGGAAAAGAAAUCAACCGAGAUUCCCCCAGUAGCGGCGAGCGAACGGGGAGGAGCCCAGAGCCUGAAUCAGUGUGUGUGUUAGUGGAAGCGUCUGGAAAGGCGCGCGAUACAGGGUGACAGCCCCGUACACAAAAAUGCACAUAUUGUGAGCUCGAUGAGUAGGGCGGGACACGUGGUAUCCUGUCUGAAUAUGGGGGGACCAUCCUCCAAGGCUAAAUACUCCUGACUGACCGAUAGUGAACCAGUACCGUGAGGGAAAGGCGAAAAGAACCCCGGCGAGGGGAGUGAAAAAGAACCUGAAACCGUGUACGUACAAGCAGUGGGAGCCUCUUAAUGGGGUGACUGCGUACCUUUUGUAUAAUGGGUCAGCGACUUAUAUUCUGUAGCAAGGUUAACCGAAUAGGGGAGCCGAAGGGAAACCGAGUCUUAACUGGGCGUUAAGUUGCAGGGUAUAGACCCGAAACCCGGUGAUCUAGCCAUGGGCAGGUUGAAGGUUGGGUAACACUAACUGGAGGACCGAACCGACUAAUGUUGAAAAAUUAGCGGAUGACUUGUGGCUGGGGGUGAAAGGCCAAUCAAACCGGGAGAUAGCUGGUUCUCCCCGAAAGCUAUUUAGGUAGCGCCUCGUGAAUUCAUCUCCGGGGGUAGAGCACUGUUUCGGCAAGGGGGUCAUCCCGACUUACCAACCCGAUGCAAACUGCGAAUACCGGAGAAUGUUAUCACGGGAGACACACGGCGGGUGCUAACGUCCGUCGUGAAGAGGGAAACAACCCAGACCGCCAGCUAAGGUCCCAAAGUCAUGGUUAAGUGGGAAACGAUGUGGGAAGGCCCAGACAGCCAGGAUGUUGGCUUAGAAGCAGCCAUCAUUUAAAGAAAGCGUAAUAGCUCACUGGUCGAGUCGGCCUGCGCGGAAGAUGUAACGGGGCUAAACCAUGCACCGAAGCUGCGGCAGCGACGCUUAUGCGUUGUUGGGUAGGGGAGCGUUCUGUAAGCCUGUGAAGGUGUGCUGUGAGGCAUGCUGGAGGUAUCAGAAGUGCGAAUGCUGACAUAAGUAACGAUAAAGCGGGUGAAAAGCCCGCUCGCCGGAAGACCAAGGGUUCCUGUCCAACGUUAAUCGGGGCAGGGUGAGUCGACCCCUAAGGCGAGGCCGAAAGGCGUAGUCGAUGGGAAACAGGUUAAUAUUCCUGUACUUGGUGUUACUGCGAAGGGGGGACGGAGAAGGCUAUGUUGGCCGGGCGACGGUUGUCCCGGUUUAAGCGUGUAGGCUGGUUUUCCAGGCAAAUCCGGAAAACCAAGGCUGAGGCGUGAUGACGAGGCACUACGGUGCUGAAGCAACAAAUGCCCUGCUUCCAGGAAAAGCCUCUAAGCAUCAGGUAACAUCAAAUCGUACCCCAAACCGACACAGGUGGUCAGGUAGAGAAUACCAAGGCGCUUGAGAGAACUCGGGUGAAGGAACUAGGCAAAAUGGUGCCGUAACUUCGGGAGAAGGCACGCUGAUAUGUAGGUGAAGCGACUUGCUCGUGGAGCUGAAAUCAGUCGAAGAUACCAGCUGGCUGCAACUGUUUAUUAAAAACACAGCACUGUGCAAACACGAAAGUGGACGUAUACGGUGUGACGCCUGCCCGGUGCCGGAAGGUUAAUUGAUGGGGUUAGCGGUAACGCGAAGCUCUUGAUCGAAGCCCCGGUAAACGGCGGCCGUAACUAUAACGGUCCUAAGGUAGCGAAAUUCCUUGUCGGGUAAGUUCCGACCUGCACGAAUGGCGUAAUGAUGGCCAGGCUGUCUCCACCCGAGACUCAGUGAAAUUGAACUCGCUGUGAAGAUGCAGUGUACCCGCGGCAAGACGGAAAGACCCCGUGAACCUUUACUAUAGCUUGACACUGAACAUUGAGCCUUGAUGUGUAGGAUAGGUGGGAGGCUUUGAAGUGUGGACGCCAGUCUGCAUGGAGCCGACCUUGAAAUACCACCCUUUAAUGUUUGAUGUUCUAACGUUGGCCCGUAAUCCGGGUUGCGGACAGUGUCUGGUGGGUAGUUUGACUGGGGCGGUCUCCUCCUAAAGAGUAACGGAGGAGCACGAAGGUUGGCUAAUCCUGGUCGGACAUCAGGAGGUUAGUGCAAUGGCAUAAGCCAGCUUGACUGCGAGCGUGACGGCGCGAGCAGGUGCGAAAGCAGGUCAUAGUGAUCCGGUGGUUCUGAAUGGAAGGGCCAUCGCUCAACGGAUAAAAGGUACUCCGGGGAUAACAGGCUGAUACCGCCCAAGAGUUCAUAUCGACGGCGGUGUUUGGCACCUCGAUGUCGGCUCAUCACAUCCUGGGGCUGAAGUAGGUCCCAAGGGUAUGGCUGUUCGCCAUUUAAAGUGGUACGCGAGCUGGGUUUAGAACGUCGUGAGACAGUUCGGUCCCUAUCUGCCGUGGGCGCUGGAGAACUGAGGGGGGCUGCUCCUAGUACGAGAGGACCGGAGUGGACGCAUCACUGGUGUUCGGGUUGUCAUGCCAAUGGCACUGCCCGGUAGCUAAAUGCGGAAGAGAUAAGUGCUGAAAGCAUCUAAGCACGAAACUUGCCCCGAGAUGAGUUCUCCCUGAGACUUAGAGUCUCCUGAAGGAACGUUGAAGACGACGACGUUGAUAGGCCGGGUGUGUAAGCGCAGCGAUGCGUUGAGCUAACCGGUACUAAUGAACCGUGAGGCUUAACCUU
This 2903-nucleotide ribosomal RNA is filed under the name Escherichia coli. RNAcentral describes it as "bacterial LSU rRNA". It matches the Rfam family "Bacterial large subunit ribosomal RNA". Lineage: Bacteria; Pseudomonadati; Pseudomonadota; Gammaproteobacteria; Enterobacterales; Enterobacteriaceae. RNAcentral also lists the same sequence under 3 other names. The record is from RNAcentral.